This 475-nucleotide ribosomal RNA is filed under the name Thermococcus sp. TM1. Its description in RNAcentral is "bacterial SSU rRNA". It matches the Rfam family "Archaeal small subunit ribosomal RNA", at positions 1 to 473 of the family's 1478-position model. The record is from RNAcentral. Lineage: Archaea; Methanobacteriati; Methanobacteriota; Thermococci; Thermococcales; Thermococcaceae.
UUCCGGUUGAUCCYGCCGGAGGCCACUGCUAUGGGGGUCCGACUAAGCCAUGCGAGUCAUGGGGCGCCUUGCGCGCACCGGCGGACGGCUCAGUAACACGUCGGUAACCUACCCUCGGGAGGGGGAUAACCCCGGGAAACUGGGGCUAAUCCCCCAUAGGCCUGAGGUACUGGAAGGUCCUCAGGCCGAAAGGGGCUUUUGCCCGCCCGAGGAUGGGCCGGCGGCCGAUUAGGUAGUUGGUGGGGUAACGGCCCACCAAGCCGAAGAUCGGUACGGGCCAUGAGAGUGGGAGCCCGGAGAUGGACACUGAGACACGGGUCCAGGCCCUACGGGGCGCAGCAGGCGCGAAACCUCCGCAAUGCGGGAAACCGCGACGGGGGGACCCCCAGUGCCGUGGCAUCGCCACGGCUUUUCCGGAGUGUAAAAAGCUCCGGGAAUAAGGGCUGGGCAAGGCCGGUGGCAGCCGCCGCGGUAA